CGGGGCGUAGCUCAGCCUGGUAGAGCGCCGUCUUCGGGAGGCGGAGGCCGUUGGUUCGAAUCCAGCCGCCCCGACCA
This 77-nucleotide transfer RNA is filed under the name Rhodovibrio salinarum. RNAcentral's name for it is "tRNA-Pro". It matches the Rfam family "tRNA". Rfam says of the family: Transfer RNA (tRNA) molecules are approximately 80 nucleotides in length. Lineage: Bacteria; Pseudomonadati; Pseudomonadota; Alphaproteobacteria; Rhodospirillales; Rhodovibrionaceae. The record is from RNAcentral.